This 1322-nucleotide ribosomal RNA is filed under the name uncultured Alphaproteobacteria bacterium. RNAcentral's name for it is "bacterial SSU rRNA". It matches the Rfam family "Bacterial small subunit ribosomal RNA", at positions 27 to 1395 of the family's 1533-position model. The record is from RNAcentral. Lineage: Bacteria; Pseudomonadati; Pseudomonadota; Alphaproteobacteria.
GAACGUACGCUGGCGGCACGCCUAACACAUGCAAGUCGAACGAAGUAGCAAUACUUAGUGGCAGACGGGUGAGUAACAUGUAGGUAUCUGCCCUUUGGCCUGGAAUAACACGAGGAAACUUGUGCUAAUACCGGAUAAGUCUUUACGGAGAAAGCUUUAUGCACCAUUGGAUGAGCCUGCACUUGAUUAGUUUGUUGGUGGGGUAAUGGCCUACCAAGACUGUGAUCAAUAGCUGAUUUGAGAGGAUGAUCAGCCACAUUGGGACUGAGACACGGCCCAAACUCCUACGGGAGGCAGCAGUGGGGAAUCUUGCACAAUGGAGGAAACUCUGAUGCAGCGAUGCCGCGUGAGUGAAGAAGGCCUUUGGGUUGUAAAGCUCUUUCGUCGGGGAAGAAAAUGACUGUACCCGAAUAAGAAGGUCCGGCUAACUUCGUGCCAGCAGCCGCGGUAAUACGAAGGGACCUAGCGUAGUUCGGAAUUACUGGGCUUAAAGAGUUCGUAGGUGGUUGAAAAAGUUAGUGGUGAAAUCCCAGAGCUUAACUCUGGAACUGCCAUUAAAACUUUUCAGCUAGAGUAUGAUAGAGGAAAGCAGAAUUUCUAGUGUAGAGGUGAAAUUCGUAGAUAUUAGAAAGAAUACCAAUUGCGAAAGGCAGCUUUCUGGAUCAUUACUGACACUGAGGAACGAAAGCAUGGGUAGCGAAGAGGAUUAGAUACCCUCGUAGUCCAUGCCGUAAACGAUGUGUGUUAGACGUUGGAAAUUUAUUUUCAGUGUCGCAGGGAAACCGAUAAACACACCGCCUGGGGAGUACGACCGCAAGGUUAAAACUCAAAUGAAUUGACGGGGACCCGCACAAGUAGUGGAGCAUGUGGUUUAAUUCGAAGAUACGCGCAGAACCUUACCAACACUUGACAUGUUCGUCGCGACUCUAAGAGAUUAGAGUUUUCGGUUCGGCCGGACGAAACACAGGUGCUGCAUGGCUGUCGUCAGCUCGUGUCGUGAGAUGUUGGGUUAAGUCCCGCAACGAGCGCAACCCUCACUUUUAGUUGCCAUCAUUAAGUUGGGCACUCUGAAAGAACUGCCAGUGAUAAGCUGGAGGAAGGUGGGGAUGACGUCAAGUCCUCAUGGCCCUUACGUGUUGGGCUACACACGUGCUACAAUGGUAUCUACAACAGGAAGCAAGACUGCGAAGUUAAGCAAAUCCCUAAAAGAUACCUCAGUUCGGAUUGCACUCUGCAACUCGAGUGCAUGAAGCUGGAAUUACUAGUAAUCGUGGAUCAGCGUGCCACGGUGAAUGCGUUCCCGGGUCUUGUACUCACCGCCC